Molecule: long non-coding RNA, 932 nt
Organism: Daphnia carinata
Lineage: Eukaryota; Metazoa; Arthropoda; Branchiopoda; Diplostraca; Daphniidae
Exons: 2
Source: RefSeq, a predicted model, not a curated record
CUUCACCUCCGGCGGAAUUGCCCUCGAAUUGCUUUUCGGAAACAUACCAAGGCGUCGCUGUCAAAUCCAAGUCUGGCGGUGGAUCUGGAGUUGCUGGCCGGUCUUCUGGCUCCAAUCCGAAUGGCCUUAACCGAUAAAUCAGAUUCUUAUGCGCGGGUAAUGUCGCGGAGCUCUUCUCAAGCCUUGAGCAGAACGUAGAAGGUCAUCGGCUUUCGCUUUAUUUUGUUCGGCCGGCAUACGUGGAUCACGACUCAUUUCCUCAACCAGCGCUCCACUUGGAUCACCUAUGAGGGUUCACUGUCCCUCUUUUCUUGCUCUGGUAGGUACGAGAGUCUGACCUUGGUCAACCGCGCUUUAGAAUCUCUUAAAUGUUCAGCAUUUGCGAGCGUGCUGAAUUGUUCAAUCGCUCGAGGGAUCGCUCUAGCGAUCCCGAAGGGCGAUUGGAAUUACAUGAGUAAUUAUAAGCGAAACUUUAACUGUGUGGACACUGUUUAUUCUAGCCCAUUCAUAGCACUAACGAAUUUUCGUCUGCUACGGCUCUCCCAUCAGACCUGUUAGCAGCGAAUCAAUACUCCUUGGGACAGUUCGACAAUUAACCCGGGAUUGGGAAACUGGGUAGGUUCCAAUGCGGGAUAAACAUGAAUCAAUAUCCGCCUCUUCCUCUUCUUCUCCGGCCAUCUCGACCGCCACGGCCUCUAGAAAGAAGACAGAAGGAUCGAAGCAUAAAUACACGGGCAGCGGAGGGUGGGAUAUUACACAGUUAAAGUUUCGCUUAUAAUUACUCAUGUAAUUCCAAUCGCCCUUCGGGAUCGCUAGAGCGAUCCCUCGAGCGAUUGAACAAUUACAUUUCGAAUUACCCGCUCACUUUAACUGUGACUUCAAAGCAACAUUAACCCAUCGAUGAGCGGGACAAAAUAGAAUUCGAAACCAAA